RNAcentral lists this ribosomal RNA (250 nucleotides) under uncultured bacterium. RNAcentral's name for it is "partial 16S ribosomal RNA". It matches the Rfam family "Bacterial small subunit ribosomal RNA", at positions 524 to 773 of the family's 1533-position model. RNAcentral also lists the same sequence under 1 other name. The record is from RNAcentral.
UACAGAGGGUGCAAGCGUUAAUCGGAAUUACUGGGCGUAAAGCGCGCGUAGGUGGUUAUUUAAGUCAGAUGUGAAAGCCCCGGGCUUAACCUGGGAACUGCAUCUGAUACUGGAUAACUAGAGUAGGUGAGAGGGGAGUAGAAUUCCAGGUGUAGCGGUGAAAUGCGUAGAGAUCUGGAGGAAUACCGAUGGCGAAGGCAGCUCCCUGGCAUCAUACUGACACUGAGGUGCGAAAGCGUGGGUAGCAAAC